Molecule: unclassified non-coding RNA, 21 nt
Filed under: Mus musculus (house mouse)
Lineage: Eukaryota; Metazoa; Chordata; Mammalia; Rodentia; Muridae
Description: oocyte_clustered_small_RNA12308
Source: RNAcentral
UCUUGCCUGUGUCAUUGCCUG